CCUACGGGGGGCUGCAGUGAGGAAUAUUGGUCAAUGGACGAGAGUCUGAACCAGCCAAGCAGCGUGAAGGAUGACUGCCCUAUGGGUUGUAAACUUCUUUUAUAUGGGAAUAAAAUGUUCCACGUGUGGGAUUUUGUAUGUACCAUAUGAAUAAGGAUCGGCUAACUCCGUGCCAGCAGCCGCGGUAAUACGGAGGAUGCGAGCGUUAUCCGGAUUUAUUGGGUUUAAAGGGAGCGUAGGUGGGUUGUUAAGUCAGUUGUGAAAGUUUGCGGCUCAACCGUGAAAUUGCAGUUGAAACUGGCAGUCUUGAGUACAGUAGAGGUAGGCGGAAUGCGUGGUGUAGCGGUGAAAUGCAUAGAGAUCACGAAGAACACCGAUUGCGAAGGCAGCUUACUGGACUGCAACUGACGUUGAGGCUCGAAAGUGUGGGGAUCAAACAGGAUUAGAUACCCGAGUAGUC
Molecule: ribosomal RNA, 460 nt
Filed under: uncultured bacterium
Lineage: Bacteria
Description: partial 16S ribosomal RNA
Rfam family: Bacterial small subunit ribosomal RNA
Source: RNAcentral